AACGUAGGGGGCGAGCGUUAUCCGGAGUUACUGGGCGUAAAGGGCGUGCAGGCGGUCUGAUAAGUUCGGCGUGAAAUAUUCCGGCUUAACCGGGAUAGGUCGUCGGAGACUGUCGGACUAGAGGGUGAUAGAGGCGUGUGGAAUUCCCGGUGUAGUGGUGAAAUGCGUAGAGAUCCGGAGGAACACCAGUGGCGAAGGCGACACGCUGGGUCACACCUGACGCUCAAGCGCGACAGCAUGGGGAGCGAACGGG
This 253-nucleotide ribosomal RNA is filed under the name uncultured bacterium. RNAcentral describes it as "partial 16S ribosomal RNA". It matches the Rfam family "Bacterial small subunit ribosomal RNA", at positions 524 to 776 of the family's 1533-position model. The record is from RNAcentral.